This 660-nucleotide ribosomal RNA is filed under the name Triticum aestivum (bread wheat). RNAcentral's name for it is "partial small subunit ribosomal RNA". The record is from RNAcentral. Lineage: Eukaryota; Viridiplantae; Streptophyta; Magnoliopsida; Poales; Poaceae.
AUGGCUGGCAUUUGUGCCCCGAAGUACGAGUUUGGAAGGGCAGGAAGUUCUAUUGCUGGCAAAACAUACACUCUGUACAAAAGAAGGUGGUGGAAAACCAAUAAGUGCUACUACUGGUGUACACCAAGUUCAAGGAUUUUGCCAUGCUCGAGCAUCCACUGGCUCCGACCUCCACCCGCUGCCGCGCGCCUGGGAUCCGCAACCUCCAACCUCUCGUGGGCCUCAGCUGGUUUCUCUGUCCCGAAUGUCGCCGCGGGCCUCCCUGCAGCAUGGCUUCGGUUCCCUCUCCAGAUGCGUCUGUGCCAACCAUCUCUACAGGCUACCCUAUUCCUUCGCUGGACUACUCCUUCCACCAGCAGCCCCCCUAGCAAACCGCAUGUCUCAUAUUUGUUCUUAUUUUCUUGCAGGAUGCAUCAAAAAGCCAGAUUCACAAAUUCAUCUCCUAUAUGCUUUUCAGUUCAUGGACUUCCCAUUGGACCUGCACGAGUUUCGGCCAAGGAACCAUCAUCGGGAAGCAGGGUGUCCCCUGAGUUCUGUGCAACAACGGUCAUUGAACUCGGUAAGCCUUGCACAGAUAGCAUGUGCAAUGAUGAAUGCAUGAAGAUCUUUCCAGGUCCUGGCGACUGUGAGAAAGGCAAGUGCUUAUGCGGCUUUUGCUGA